RNAcentral lists this ribosomal RNA (433 nucleotides) under uncultured bacterium. RNAcentral's name for it is "partial 16S ribosomal RNA". It matches the Rfam family "Bacterial small subunit ribosomal RNA", at positions 29 to 507 of the family's 1533-position model. The record is from RNAcentral.
AACGAACGCUGGCGGCAGGCCUAACACAUGCAAGUCGAGCGAGGACUUCGGUUCUAGCGGCGGACGGGUGAGUAACGCGUGGGAAUGUGCCCUUCUCUACGGAAUAGCCCUGGGAAACUGGGAGUAAUGCCGUAUACGCCCUAUUGGGGAAAGAUUUAUCGGAGAAGGAUCAGCCCGCGUUGGAUUAGGUAGUUGGUGGGGUAAUGGCCUACCAAGCGGACGAUCCAUAGCUGGUUUGAGAGGCUGAUCAGCCACACUUGGACUGAGACACGGCCCAGACUCCUACGGGAUGCAGCAGUGGGGAAUCGUAGACAAUCGCGGCAACCCUGAUCUAGCCAUGCCGCGUGAGUUAUGAAGGCCUUAGGGUUGUAAAGCGCUUUCAGCUGUGAAGAUAAUGACGGUACCAGCAGAAGAAGCCCCGGCUAACUCCGUG